GAUGAACGCUGGCGGUAUGCUUAACACAUGCAAGUCGAACGGACUCUUCGGAGUUAGUGGCGGACGGGUGAGUAACGCGUGAGAAUCUGGCCUUGGGUUCGGGACAACCACUGGAAACGGUGGCUAAUACCGGAUGUGCCGAGAGGUAAAAGAGAAAUUGCCUGAAGAUGAGCUCGCGUCUGAUUAGCUAGUUGGUGAGGUAAAGGCUCACCAAGGCAGCGAUCAGUAGCUGGUCUGAGAGGAUGACCAGCCACACUGGGACUGAGACACGGCCCAGACUCCUACGGGAGGCAGCAGUGGAGAAUUUUCCGCAAUGGGCGAAAGCCUGACGGAGCAAUACCGCGUGAGGGAAGAAGGCUCUUGGGUUGUAAACCUCUUUUCUUAGGGAAGAACAAAAUGACGGUACCUAAGGAAUCAGCAUCGGCUAACUCCGUG
This 435-nucleotide ribosomal RNA is filed under the name uncultured bacterium. Its description in RNAcentral is "partial 16S ribosomal RNA". It matches the Rfam family "Bacterial small subunit ribosomal RNA", at positions 28 to 507 of the family's 1533-position model. The record is from RNAcentral.